RNAcentral lists this ribosomal RNA (306 nucleotides) under uncultured bacterium. RNAcentral describes it as "partial 16S ribosomal RNA". It matches the Rfam family "Bacterial small subunit ribosomal RNA", at positions 507 to 807 of the family's 1533-position model. The record is from RNAcentral.
GACAGCAGCCGCCGCGGUAAUACGUAGGGUGCAAGCGUUAAUCGGAAUUACUGGGCGUAAAGCGUGCGCAGGCGGUUAUAUAAGACAGAUGUGAAAUCCCCGGGCUCAACCUGGGAACUGCAUUUGUGACUGUAUAGCUAGAGUACGGCAGAGGGGGAUGGAAUUCCGCGUGUAGCAGUGAAAUGCGUAGAUAUGCGGAGGAACACCGAUGGCGAAGGCAAUCCCCUGGGCCUGUACUGACGCUCAUGCACGAAAGCGUGGGGAGCAAACAGGAUUAGAUACCCCAGUAGUCCCUGUCUCUUAUAC